AAGUUGUAACAAGGUCUCUGUUGGUGAACUAGUAGAAGGAUCAUUACUGAGUCAUGUGUUCAAACAACCCUUCUGUAGACCUGAAUUAAACUGUUGCCUUGGUGGGCGGUCCCUUGUCAAAACCCUACGUGGGUGUGGUCAGGGGACUAGACAGUCUGGUAUGCUUAAGGUGUCCUGGUGUCAGCUGUUGGUCCUAAACAAUUAAACUCUAAUAACUUUACCUUCUGAGUUUUAAUACAAAAAAUAAGUCAAAACUUUCAACAACAGAUCUCUUGGUUCUA
Molecule: unclassified non-coding RNA, 281 nt
Filed under: fungal sp.
Lineage: Eukaryota; Fungi
Description: partial internal transcribed spacer region
Source: RNAcentral